GGAGAGGUGCUAGAGUGGCCGAAUAGGCGCGAUUGGAAAUCGCGUGUUCCCUCACAAGGGGAACCGUGGGUUCGAAUCCCACCCUCUCCGCCA
This 93-nucleotide transfer RNA is filed under the name Chloroflexota bacterium. RNAcentral's name for it is "tRNA-Ser". It matches the Rfam family "tRNA". Rfam says of the family: Transfer RNA (tRNA) molecules are approximately 80 nucleotides in length. Their secondary structure includes four short double-helical elements and three loops (D, anti-codon, and T loops). The record is from RNAcentral. Lineage: Bacteria; Bacillati; Chloroflexota.